GUGGGGAAUAUUGCGCAAUGGGGGAAACCCUGACGCAGCGACGCCGUGUGAGGGAAGAAGGCUUUCGGGUCGUAAACCUCUGUCAGAAAGGAAGAACCUCCCAAGUCCGAAUAGGGCUUGGGACUGACGGUACUUUCAAAGGAAGCACCGGCUAACUCCGUGCCAGCAGCCGCGGUAAUACGGAGGGUGCAAGCGUUAAUCGGAAUCACUGGGCGUAAAGCGCGCGUAGGCCGCUUUGUAAGUCGGACGUGAAAGCCCUCGGCGCAACCGGGGAACUGCGUUCGAUACUGCGAGGCUUGAGUCCUGGAGAGGGUGGCGGAAUUCCGGGUGUAGGAGUGAAAUCCGUAGAUAUCCGGAGGAACACCGGUGGCGAAGGCGGCCACCUGGACAGGUACUGACGCUGAGGCGCGAAAGCGUGGGGAGCAAACAGGAUUAGAAACCCUUGUAGUCC
RNAcentral lists this ribosomal RNA (451 nucleotides) under uncultured bacterium. RNAcentral describes it as "partial 16S ribosomal RNA". It matches the Rfam family "Bacterial small subunit ribosomal RNA", at positions 354 to 796 of the family's 1533-position model. The record is from RNAcentral.